UUGACCUCGGAUCAGGUAGGGAUACCCGCUGAACUUAAGCAUAUCAAUAAGCGGAGGAAAAGAAACCACCAGGGAUUGCCUCAGUAGCGGCGAGUGAAGCGGCAAGAGCUCAAAUUUGAAAGCUGGCCCCCUCGGGGUCCGCGUUGUAAUUUGCAGAGGAUGCUUCGGGUGCAGCCCCCGUCUAAGUGCCCUGGAACGGGCCGUCAUAGAGGGUGAGAAUCCCGUCUGGGACGGGGUGUCUGCGUCCGUGUGAAGCUCCUUCGACGAGUCGAGUUGUUUGGGAAUGCAGCUCUAAAUGGGUGGUAAAUUUCAUCUAAAGCUAAAUACUGGCCGGAGACCGAUAGCGCACAAGUAGAGUGAUCGAAAGAUGAAAAGCACUUUGAAAAGAGAGUUAAACAGCACGUGAAAUUGUUGAAAGGGAAGCGUUUGCGACCAGACUCGCCCGCGGGGUUCAGCCGGCAUUCGUGCCGGUGUACUUCCCCGUGGGCGGGCCAGCGUCGGUUUGGGCGGCCGGUCAAAGGCCCUCGGAAUGUAUCACCCCUCGGGGUGUCUUAUAGCCGAGGGUGCAAUGCGGCCUGCCUGGACCGAGGAACGCGCUUCGGCUCGGACGCUGGCGUAAUGGUCGUAAAUGACCCGUCUUGAAACACGGACCA
RNAcentral lists this ribosomal RNA (653 nucleotides) under Aspergillus thermomutatus. RNAcentral's name for it is "eukaryotic LSU rRNA". It matches the Rfam family "Eukaryotic large subunit ribosomal RNA", at positions 1 to 668 of the family's 3401-position model. Lineage: Eukaryota; Fungi; Ascomycota; Eurotiomycetes; Eurotiales; Aspergillaceae. The record is from RNAcentral.